GAUGAACGCUGGCGGCGUGCCUAAUACAUGCAAGUCGAGCGAACAGACGAGGAGCUUGCUCCUCUGACGUUAGCGGCGGACGGGUGAGUAACACGUGGAUAACCUACCUAUAAGACUGGGAUAACUUCGGGAAACCGGAGCUAAUACCGGAUAACAUGUUGAACCGCAUGGUUCAACAGUGAAAGACGGUCUUGCUGUCACUUAUAGAUGGAUCCGCGCCGCAUUAGCUAGUUGGUAAGGUAACGGCUUACCAAGGCAACGAUGCGUAGCCGACCUGAGAGGGGGAUCGGCCACACUGGAAGUGAGACACGGUCCAGACACCGACGGGAGGCAGCGGUAGGGAAUCGUCCGCAAUGGGCGAAAGCCUGACGGAGCAACGCCGCGUGAGUGAUGAAGGUCUGCGGGUCGGAAAACGCUGUUAUGAGGGAAGAACAAAUGUGUAAGUAACUAUGCACGUCUUGACGGAACCUAAACAGAAAGCCACGGCUAACUACGG
RNAcentral lists this ribosomal RNA (496 nucleotides) under uncultured bacterium. RNAcentral's name for it is "partial 16S ribosomal RNA". It matches the Rfam family "Bacterial small subunit ribosomal RNA", at positions 28 to 506 of the family's 1533-position model. The record is from RNAcentral.